UUGGUUUUAAUUGACAUAUGCUUGCUUGAUUGGCUUAAGUCUGUUAGCUUAUUUGCAUUUUGCAUUUCAUAAAUCGGUCAUUUUUACCCCUCUAAGUGGGAGUGAGAAACUAGUCCUUCGUGAGGUAUUCACCUCCGUGCGGGAUAGUGGAUCGCUUUCGGGAUGCAUCCGUACCUAUGUCUUCGUGAGAUUUUCAUCUCCGUGUAGCCAUAGGGAAAUGUAUCCCCCUGAAUUGAACUCGGUCUAUAUGAGCCUAUAAUGGGUGAGGAUCGAGGAAUUUGUUGGUUCAGGUACCCCUGCCCUAGAAGCCGAACCGCAUAUAGUGAACCUUAGGAACUUACCCUAGGUAGAAUUACUCUAAACCUUAGUAGAUACCUGACUAGGAGUUUUUAUUAUUUCUUGAUUGUAUUGGAUUAAAUGUUUAUACCUGAUACUAACCCGUUUUGUUUUGUUUUGGUUAUGAUUGCAUUGCAUUUGCAUUUUAGAAAAGAGAUGUUGAUUCAAGUUUGAUUACUAAGUUAGAAAGCCUAUCAUAAGAAAACGGGUUUCUUGAUAAAAUGAAAAAUAGUACGGCUGCCUGAAUAUAUUCCGAGAAACACAAUAAGGGCG
Molecule: long non-coding RNA, 609 nt
Filed under: Gossypium raimondii (Peruvian cotton)
Lineage: Eukaryota; Viridiplantae; Streptophyta; Magnoliopsida; Malvales; Malvaceae
Description: long non-coding RNA (GRAI_LNC007735)
Source: RNAcentral